ACUCCUGCGGGAGGCAGCAGUGAGGAAUAUUGGACAAUGGGUGGAAGCCUGAUCCAGCCAUCCCGCGUGCAGGAAGACGGCCCUAUGGGUUGUAAACUGCUUUUAUCUGGGGAUAAACCUACUUACGUGUAAGUAGCUGAAGGUACCAGAAGAAUAAGCACCGGCUAACUCCGUGCCAGCAGCCGCGGUAAUACGGAGGGUGCAAGCGUUAUCCGGAUUUAUUGGGUUUAAAGGGUCCGUAGGCGGACUGAUAAGUCAGUGGUGAAAUCCGACAGCUUAACUGUCGAACUGCCAUUGAUACUGUUAGUCUUGAGUAAGGUUGAAGUGGCUGGAAUAAGUAGUGUAGCGGUGAAAUGCAUAGAUAUUACUUAGAACACCAAUUGCGAAGGCAGGUCACUAAGUCUUAACUGACGCUGAUGGACGAAAGCGUGGGGAGCGAACAGGAUUAGAAACCCCAGUAGUCCCAUG
Molecule: ribosomal RNA, 468 nt
Filed under: uncultured organism
Description: partial 16S ribosomal RNA
Rfam family: Bacterial small subunit ribosomal RNA
Source: RNAcentral